This 79-nucleotide microRNA precursor is filed under the name Pteropus vampyrus (large flying fox). RNAcentral's name for it is "miRNA (ENSPVAG00000026638.1)". Lineage: Eukaryota; Metazoa; Chordata; Mammalia; Chiroptera; Pteropodidae. The record is from RNAcentral.
GGGCCCGCCGCCGCGGAGACGGCGAUUGGUCCAGCUGUAUGGUGCCACUGGCCGCCGGCUCCGCCCCAGCUCCCGCCUC